This 1588-nucleotide ribosomal RNA is filed under the name Acanthamoeba griffini. Its description in RNAcentral is "partial 16S ribosomal RNA". It matches the Rfam family "Bacterial small subunit ribosomal RNA". The record is from RNAcentral. Lineage: Eukaryota; Discosea; Longamoebia; Acanthamoebidae.
GUUUGUUUAAAAAAAAUUAAAAGAUGUUAUAUACUAUAUUGAUAAUUAUAUUAUCUUUAUAACAAUUGUUGGGUUUUAUUCUGGCUCCGAGUGAACGCUGGUAACAUAUUUUAACACAUGCAAAUCSARCGRMAGUUKUUAAAMMSCUUUASYGGUGACCUKGUGAGUAGUAUAASAGSAUCKWRAUGSGAGUUGGGUUAAAUACCUUAUAUUUAARAGAUUUAUAUCGCUUCCAAUAGAACUUUKAAAGGAUUAGGUAGUUGUUGUAGUAAUUAUGCAACAAGCCUACGAUGCUUAGCUGGUUUGAGAGAAUGAUCAGCCACAUUGGGACUGAAAACGGCCCAAGUCUUUGAAAAGGGCAGCAGUGGAGAAUAUUUGACAAUGAGCGAAAGCUUGAUCGAGUAAUGUUACGUGGGUGAUCAGAAGGCUUAAUUGCUGUAAAGCUCGUUUCGUCAAGGAUUAUAAUGCAAUCGUACUUGAAGGAGAAGCCCUGACUAACUUCGUGCCAGCAGUCGCGGUAAUACGGAGAGGGCUAGUGUUAUUCGCAUUGACUGGGUGUAAAGGGUGCGUAGGUGGCUUAUUAAGUUUCAAGAUAAAUCUUAAAUUUAAAAUUUAAAUUUCUUUUAAUACUAAUAGGCUAGAGUUCAUUAGAAGAUAGCUGAACAUUAAGUGUAAAGGUGAAAUUUUCCGAUAUUUAAAGGACAUUCAAUAGGCGAAGGCUGCUAUCUAUUUUAAACUGACACUGAGGCACAAAAGCAUAGGGAUCAAACMGGAUUAGAGACCCUGGUAGUCUAUGCCCUGACCGAUGAAUAUUGAUUAUGUUUGAAAAAAAAAUGUAAUUAAGCUAACGCGUAAAUAUUCCACCUGAGUACUACGACCGCAAGGUUAAAACUCAAAGAAACUGACGGAAGAUUGUAUAAGCGGUGGAGUAUGUGGUUUAAUUUGAUAUAACGCAAAGAAUCUUACCAACUCUUGAAUACAAAUUACUAUGUGUUUUUAUAAAUUAGUUUAUAUAACAACACUAGUAUAAGUGGUUUUAGAAGAAAAACCAUUUAUAAUUUGUACAGGUGCUGCAUGGUUGUCGGCAGUCCGUGUUGUGAAAUGUUUUGUUAAUUCAUUUAACGGACGUAACUUUCGACCUUAUUUGUAAAAAAAUUUUUUUUUUUUUUAAUAGGGUGACGUUAAUUUGAAAAUUAAUUGAAARAAAAGGAAKUCAAAUCAUUAUGGCCUAUAUAGGUUGGGCUACCCCCGUACUACAAGGGUGAUUACAACGGGAACCAAAAACGCAAGUUAUACCUAACCAUUAAAAAUCAAUCCUAGUUCUAAUUACUCUCUGUAAGUCGAGAGUAUGAAGUCGGAAUCCCUAGUAAUCGUAAAAAAAAACGCUGCGGUGAAUACUUUCCCAAUCUUUGUACACCCCGCCCGUCACCCCAUGGGAAUUGGUUUGGUUAAAAAUAAAAUAGGUUAUAAAUUAGUUAUUUUCAAAUUUUUUUUGAGUUUGAUUAUCUAAAAAACUAAUUGGGACAACUAAAUCAAGGACUGGGGUGAAGUCGUAACAAGGUAGCGGUAGGGGAACCUGCUGCUGGAC